This 468-nucleotide ribosomal RNA is filed under the name uncultured bacterium. RNAcentral describes it as "partial 16S ribosomal RNA". It matches the Rfam family "Bacterial small subunit ribosomal RNA", at positions 28 to 507 of the family's 1533-position model. The record is from RNAcentral.
GACGAACGCUGGCGGCGUGCUUAACACAUGCAAGUCGAACGGAAAGGCCCUGCUUUUGUGGGGUGCUCGAGUGGCGAACGGGUGAGUAACACGUGAGUAACCUGCCCUUGACUUUGGGAUAACUUCAGGAAACUGGGGCUAAUACCGGAUAGGAGCUCCUGCUGCAUGGUGGGGGUUGGAAAGUUUCGGCGGUUGGGGAUGGACUCGCGGCUUAUCAGCUGGUUGGUGGGGUAGUGGCUUACCAAGGCUUUGACGGGUAGCCGGCCUGAGAGGGUGAUCGGCCACAUUGGGACUGAGAGACGGCCCAGACUCCUACGGGAGGCAGCAGUGGGGAAUAUUGCACAAUGGGCGGAAGCCUGAUGCAGCAACGCCGCGUGCGGGAUGACGGCCUUCGGGUUGUAAACCGCUUUCGCCUGUGACGAAGCGGGAGUGACGGUAAUGGGUAAAGAAGCACCGGCUAACUACGUG